UGAUCCUUUUUAGCAGGUGGAUUAAGUCUAUCAUCUCUGCAGUCCCUGGCUUCCAUCAGUCUUGAGUCUUUGGAUUCGUUGGCACUGGAGAAGCUGGUGGUACAGGUAAACACUUCAAAGACUGAGGAAGAAGAUGCACUUGAGCUCCCCUCAAAGCACUUUAGCAAGGAAGUACAACUGACCCAUCAAUGAAAUUCACUGUACAGCAAAUGCUGGUGGGAGCCGUAACAUUUAGUGUAAGGACUCUGUUGUAGGCUGGAGGAAGAGGAAGACUGCAAUAAACAGGACUACUGGUGUUCUCCCCACUUUCCUGGGUGCACAGUGGGACUUCUCCCACUGCUGCUGAUGCCCCAGAUGAUGUCCUUGAGGGAGGAGCAGCCUCAGCCAUU
Molecule: long non-coding RNA, 389 nt
Organism: Calypte anna (Anna's hummingbird)
Lineage: Eukaryota; Metazoa; Chordata; Aves; Apodiformes; Trochilidae
Exons: 4
Source: RefSeq, a predicted model, not a curated record